GCCGCGUGCGGGACGAAGGCCCUAGGGUCGUAAACCGCUUUCAGUAGGGACGAAAAUGACGGUACCUGCAGAAGAAGCUCCGGCCAACUACGUGCCAGCAGCCGCGGUGAUACGUAGGGAGCAAGCGUUGUCCGGAAUUACUGGGCGUAAAGGGCUCGUAGGUGGUUGAGUAAGUCAGAUGUGAAAUCUCAGGGCCCAACCCUGAGCGUGCAUUUGAUACUGCUCUGACUAGAGUCCGGUAGGGGAGUGCGGAAUUCCUGGUGUAGCGGUGAAAUGCGCAGAUAUCAGGAGGAACACCGACAGCGAAGGCAGCACUCUGGGCCGGUACUGACACUGAGGAGCGAAAGCAUGGGUAGCAAACAGGAUUAGAUACCCUGGUAGUCCAUGCCGUAAACGUUGGGCACUAGGUGUGGGGAGAACUCAACUCUCUCCGCGCCGUAGCUAACGCAUUAAGUGCCCCGCCUGGGGAGUACGGCCGCAAGGCUAAAACUCAAAGGAAUUGACGGGGGCCCGCACAAGCGGCGGAGCAUGUUGCUUAAUUCGAGGCAACGCGAAGAACCUUACCUGGGUUGAACUACGUAGGAAAAGCCGCAGAGAUGCGGUGUCCUUCGGGGUCCACGAUAGGUGGUGCAUGGCUGUCGUCAGCUCGUGUCGUGAGAUGUUGGGUUAAGUCCCGCAACGAGCGCAACCCUUGUCCUAUGUUGCCAGCGGGUAAAGCCGGGGACUCGUAGGAGACUGCCGGGGUCAACUCGGAGGAAGGUGGGGACGACGUCAAGUCAUCAUGCCCCUUAUGUCCAGGGCUGCAAACAUGCUACAAUGGCCGGUACAACGGGCAGCUAAACCGCGAGGUCAAGCGAAUCCCACAAAGCCGGUC
This 874-nucleotide ribosomal RNA is filed under the name uncultured bacterium. RNAcentral describes it as "bacterial SSU rRNA". It matches the Rfam family "Bacterial small subunit ribosomal RNA", at positions 396 to 1287 of the family's 1533-position model. The record is from RNAcentral.